Molecule: ribosomal RNA, 548 nt
Filed under: uncultured Glomus
Lineage: Eukaryota; Fungi; Glomeromycota; Glomeromycetes; Glomerales; Glomeraceae
Description: SSU rRNA
Rfam family: Eukaryotic small subunit ribosomal RNA
Source: RNAcentral
UGGAGGGCAAGUCUGGUGCCAGCAGCCGCGGUAAUUCCAGCUCCAAUAGCGUAUAUUAAAGUUGUUGCAGUUAAAAAGCUCGUAGUUGAAUUUCGGGGUCAGCAGGUUGGUCGUGCCAAUGGUAUGAACUGGCCUUGCUGAUUCCUCCCUCUUGAUGAGCCGUAAUGUCAUUAAUUUGGUGUUGCGGGGAAUCAGGACUGUUACUUUGAAAAAAUUAGAGUGUUUAAAGCAGGCAAGCGCUUGAAUACAUUAGCAUGGAAUAAUGAAAUAGGACGUUUGAUCCUAUUUUGUUGGUUUCUAGGAUUGACGUAAUGAUUAAUAGGGAUAGUUGGGGGCAUUAGUAUUCAAUUGUCAGAGGUGAAAUUCUUGGAUUUAUUGAAGACUAACUACUGCGAAAGCAUUUGCCAAGGAUGUUUUCAUUAAUCAAGAACGAAAGUUAGGGGAUCGAAGACGAUCAGAUACCGUCGUAGUCUUAACCAUAAACUAUGCCGACUAGGGAUCGGAUGAUGUUAAUUUUUUAAUGACUCAUUUGGCACCUUACGGGAAAC